UGCCAAACAAGGGUCAAAGGUCAAUUUUGAGCUCAAGAUUUUUUUGCAUACAAACAUUUCUUCAUUAUAGCAACUCGUUGUCAAAUUUUGGGAGUCCUACCUAUAAUACUUUUGUCUGGACAAAACAGAAACUUUAAAGUCAUUUUUCUCAGUUUCACACUCUAGCGAGUUAAGGUCUUUUGCCUUUGUAGGGCAGAAGUGUAGUGAGCAAGA
Long non-coding RNA from Sander lucioperca (pikeperch), 213 nucleotides. RefSeq lists it as uncharacterized. Lineage: Eukaryota; Metazoa; Chordata; Actinopteri; Perciformes; Percidae. The transcript is spliced from 3 exons. The record is from RefSeq and is a predicted model, not a curated record.